This 467-nucleotide ribosomal RNA is filed under the name uncultured bacterium. RNAcentral's name for it is "partial 16S ribosomal RNA". It matches the Rfam family "Bacterial small subunit ribosomal RNA", at positions 28 to 506 of the family's 1533-position model. The record is from RNAcentral.
GAUGAACGCUGGCGGCGUGCUUAACACAUGCAAGUCGAACGGAAAGGCCAGUGCUUGCACUGGUACUCGAGUGGCGAACGGGUGAGUAACACGUGGGUGAUCUGCCCUGUACUUCGGGAUAAGCUUGGGAAACUGGGUCUAAUACCGGAUAGGACAACUUUUUGGAUAUUGUUGUGGAAAGCUUUUGCGGUAUGGGAUGAGCUCGCGGCCUAUCAGCUUGUUGGUGGGGUAAUGGCCUACCAAGGCGUCGACGGGUAGCCGGCCUGAGAGGGUGUACGGCCACAUUGGGACUGAGAUACGGCCCAGACUCCUACGGGAGGCAGCAGUGGGGAAUAUUGCACAAUGGGCGCAAGCCUGAUGCAGCGACGCCGCGUGGGGGAUGAAGGCCUUCGGGUUGUAAACUCCUUUCGCUAGGGACGAAGCUUUUUUGUGACGGUACCUGGAGAAGAAGCACCGGCUAACUACGU